UUUCCCCCAAUUACAUCAAAGAAUGUCGACAAAUUAGAUUGAAUAAAGUCUCCUAACCAACAAAUAUGGUGCUUUCUAUACUACCCUUCUACCUUUAUGAUUAGCAACAUUGGAUUAUGAAACAUCUUCCUCCACACUAGGGAUUGUUGGUAGACCCGCAGUAAACAUACUCGACAUGAACAACUACUAUCGAACUGAGCCAAAUAAUCAGCUCAAGAAACGGAGCAAUAACAACAAU
This 238-nucleotide long non-coding RNA is filed under the name Ricinus communis (castor bean). RNAcentral's name for it is "long non-coding RNA (RCOM_LNC000223)". Lineage: Eukaryota; Viridiplantae; Streptophyta; Magnoliopsida; Malpighiales; Euphorbiaceae. The record is from RNAcentral.